AGCUCAAGUGGCAGAGCACAUGCUUAGCAUGCAUGAGGUCCUGGGUUCAAUCCCCAG
RNAcentral lists this transfer RNA (57 nucleotides) under Camelus bactrianus (Bactrian camel). It matches the Rfam family "tRNA", at positions 9 to 63 of the family's 71-position model. Rfam says of the family: Transfer RNA (tRNA) molecules are approximately 80 nucleotides in length. RNAcentral also lists the same sequence under 3 other names. The record is from Rfam by way of RNAcentral. Lineage: Eukaryota; Metazoa; Chordata; Mammalia; Artiodactyla; Camelidae.